Syngnathoides biaculeatus (alligator pipefish) is the source of this 1309-nucleotide long non-coding RNA. RefSeq lists it as uncharacterized. The transcript is spliced from 4 exons. The record is from RefSeq and is a predicted model, not a curated record. Lineage: Eukaryota; Metazoa; Chordata; Actinopteri; Syngnathiformes; Syngnathidae.
GCCUGGCGGUCCCCCAGCACCAGGCUGGCCCAGAGGACCGGGAGGUCCACGCUCUCCCUUAAUCAGAUCGGGAGGCCGAGGAACACCAGGGUCACCAGGAGGGCCUGGAUCAGAAAGGAUUUAAAAAGAUUCUUCAUCAGGAGAUGAUUACAUCUUCAUCCGAACGAACAGUACCUGGGAAUCCGGGAACCCCAGGCAGUCCGAUGUCUCCUUUAGCACCAGGAACACCAGGAGUGCCCGGAGGACCCUGUUGCGAGAGUUCCAAAACGGGUCUCCUUUCUGACCAGGGAAGCCUGGCUGACCAGCAGCGCCGGGAAUGCCUUUCUCGCCCCUGACGCCACCACUUCCUGGGGCCCCACGAGGACCUUGUGGGCCAGGCACACCUUCAUACACAAAACAUCAGCAGUCAGGUAUCAUGGGAUGGCGAUAAUGCAAACCACAGCCAAUCACACGGUGGGGUUCAAGCGCUAACAGUGACCGUGAGGAGGAACGUGCAGCGAAAGGCCGGACGCCGUCGAUCUGACCUGCUGGACCUGCGGCGGGCGGCGCCGAGCGUCAUCACGGAGAGGGUCGAGGCCAUGGGAAACGCAGGUAAAAUAUCACAGCAAAAAAAAAAAAAGAGAAGGGCUUUCUAAAGGUUGGCAAUGUAUGGUCAGUCAGUUUAGACAAAUGUUUCAGGGCCACCCUGCAGACAACAUCCAUGCACCGUUUGAUGAUGGUCUGGUGAAAUUAAACACGGUCAGGGCAGCAAAGCCAGAUUCAACCGCAAAAGCCAGCUCCACUCUUCCUUGCAAAGAAGAUCAAUGUGUCUAUCCACUUUGGGCACUCGCGUGCAUGUAUUUAAACCGGUAUGAUGCCCUAGAUCUGGUCUCAAUGGAGUCUUGGAGCGCUUGGUGGGUGGUGUCUGACUCUGCUGAAUCCAACACAAAACAGAGGAGGACACGCAGAAAGUAAAACAAAGGUAAGUGGCUCUGGAAAGACGGUCCGAUCACAACCUCUCCUCAUUUGAAGGUCACAAAGUGCAAUAGUGGAGAGUACAACUGGGCUCUCACGAUGGGAACCCGUGUUCCUUUUGGUCGUGAUUGAACAUCCGCACAUUUCAUCGUGGGAGCGAGACAGACUGGACAGAUGUGACGACGAUGGUGAAUUGUGAAACUGUGUUCCAUGCAAACCAGUCCAAAAAAAAAGCAACAUUGGUGAUUUACAUCAGCUUGCUGCCUGGUUUGCUCGGAAUCACACAAAUAAUUCAAGUAUCAAUUCAACAAACAAAUGAAUGAAUAUUAAAAACCACCUGAAAACCAUUUUUCAC